This 657-nucleotide ribosomal RNA is filed under the name Distolabrellus veechi. RNAcentral describes it as "bacterial SSU rRNA". It matches the Rfam family "Eukaryotic small subunit ribosomal RNA", at positions 124 to 837 of the family's 1831-position model. Lineage: Eukaryota; Metazoa; Nematoda; Chromadorea; Rhabditida; Rhabditidae. The record is from RNAcentral.
AAAUCGGAAACUUACUGAGUGGAUACUUUCAGUAAUUCUGGAGCUAAUACAUGUUCGCACGGGCAACCGUGUCAUUUAUUAGAAUCACCAACCGCUUCGGCGUGUAGUGAUGACUCUGAAUAUCUCGCAGACCGCAUGCGAAAGCGGCGGCGAUUCACGUAAUUAACUGCCCUAUCAACUUUUGAUGGUAGUUUCGUUGUCUACCAUGGUGAUAACGGGUAACGGAGGAUAAGGGUUUGACUCCGGAGAGGAUGCCUUAGAAACGGCAACCACAUCUAAGGAAGGCAGCAGGCGCGCAAAUUACCCACUCUCAAUUCGAGGAGGUAGUGACAACAACUAACGAGACUGCGUCCUAUGGGCGCAGUCAUCGAAAUGGGUACGAUUUAAACCCUUUAACGAGGAUCUAUGAGAGGGCAAGUCUGGUGCCAGCAGCCGCGGUAAUUCCAGCUCUCAAAGUGUAUGUCAUUAUUGCUGCGGUUAAAAAGCUCGUAGUUGGAUCUGAGCGCGUGGAUACAGUUCACGUCUGUGUGAUACUGUCAUCCUGGGUUAAUUUCGGCGGUCUUCCGGCGAGAGUAACCCUGAACUCGCGGAGCGUUUUCACCAUGCGUGACGCUCGAAUCUACUUUGCAUGGUUUGAUUGGGCAAGGUAAUUUGGUG